This 468-nucleotide ribosomal RNA is filed under the name uncultured bacterium. RNAcentral describes it as "partial 16S ribosomal RNA". It matches the Rfam family "Bacterial small subunit ribosomal RNA", at positions 28 to 507 of the family's 1533-position model. The record is from RNAcentral.
GACGAACGCUGGCGGCGUGCUUAACACAUGCAAGUCGAACGGAACGGCCCUGCUUUUGUGGGGUGGUCGAGUGGCGAACGGGUGAGUAACACGUGAGUACCCUGUCCUUGACUUUGGGAUAACUUCAUGACACUGGGGCUAAUACCGGCUAGGAGCUCCUGCUGCAUGGUGGGGGUUGGUAAGUUUCGGCGGUUGGGGAUGGACUGGCGGCGUAUGAGCUUGUUGGUGGGGUAGUGGCUUACCAAGGUCUUGACAGGUAGCCGGGCUGGGAGGGUGACCGGCCACACUGCGACGGAAAUGAGGCCCAGACUCGAACGGGAGGCAACAGUGGAGAGUGGUGCACAAGGGGCGGAACGAUAGUGCAACAAAGCCGCGUGGGGGAUGACGGGCAUCGGGUUGGGAUCCACUGUCGUCUGUGACGAAGCGUGAGUGACGGUAAUGGGUGAAGAAGCACCGGCUAACUACGUG